This 1975-nucleotide long non-coding RNA is filed under the name Sus scrofa (pig). RNAcentral's name for it is "lncRNA (ENSSSCG00005028070.1)". The record is from RNAcentral. Lineage: Eukaryota; Metazoa; Chordata; Mammalia; Artiodactyla; Suidae.
UUUUUUUUCUUUUGGUACAUAAUUCAGUGUUACCAGGUGUAGGUAAUAGGUGCCUACAAUAAAUGUAAUCUUUUUUAAACUGCAUAAAAAGCAGCAAAAAAACCUGGAAGAUUCCCAAGUAGUGCACCUGCCUUUCUCCUUCCCUUCCUACCUUUGUAUUCUUCGAUUUAUUUUGUAAUGAGAAGCCAUUGGUUUUAUAAUAGAAAAAAAGGUGGAGCGCUUUGUUUGUUUUUUCCCCUUCCUCCUCCUCUGAAUUCUCCCCAGGCGAUGCCGGGUCCCUAGGGCUCAUGUUGCCAAGCCUGGACCACCUGGGCCAAGUGGAGGCAGGCGGAGGGCAGACACUGUGCAGCUUCCAAGCUGAGCAGCAUCCCAGUGCCCUGCCCUGGGUUCCUUCCAAGGCCCUUACGGUAACUCCGAGAAGCGAGGCCCUCAUUAAAGCGGCCCUUAGACACAGAGACGCACAACCAGUGGCAAAAGGUCCCUUUCUAGCAGCGGGAGGCCACUGCCACCCAGAUAGAUGGGUCCCCAGCCUCAGCUGCUCCCCAAGUACAGGGUGGGUGGACUCCCCGGAUGGUCAUGCAUCGGUUCUUCGGUGAGAGAUCAUAAAGCUGCUGAGAAGCUCUGAAGAGCCAGAGGGUCCUUCUUCAUGCGUUCACCAUUAUUCAUUUGCGGGCUCUCUGCUAUGUACCAGGCACCUCCUGGCAGGGGGGAAUGGGUAAAUAAGACAGAGGCCUUAGGAGCUCAUGGAUGGAGGACUUUUAACCUGCAAUUACUCCAGAGUAAGAAAUGCCAUAAGGGGAAACUGGGUGCCAAACACAAUAUGGGCACAUAAGGAGGAGGGCCAGUUCUUGCAGGAUAAGCAGGAAUCACCAAAAAAUGGAAGAAAAGGACAUUGCAGUGGAGGGAAGCACAGAGGUGACUGCUCAGAGAUGGAAGUCAUUCUCUGGAAGCUUCAGGGAAACCAGCAGAGUCGAAGUGAAAUGUACAAGAGGAAAUGAGAAGAAGAGGGGAAAAGGGCAGGGUUGGAAUGCUCCCAGAACUUUCCCAGACUAUCCCAACCCUCAAUCAUUCCUGUACCUCUCUUGUGGAUUUUACCACAUCUAUGUCUCACCUGUAUUAUUUAAAAAAAUUUUUUUUCUCUUUUUUCUUUCUGGUCGUCCUAUAGCAUAUGUAGUUCCUGGGCUAAGGAUUAGAUCUGAGCCACAGUUGUGACCUACCCCGCAGCUAUGGCAAAGCUGGAUAUUUAACCCACUGUGCUGGGCUGGGAAUCAAACCUGCAUCCCAGCACGGCAGAGAUGCCUCCAAGCCCAUGGAGCCACAGGGGGAACUCCUAAAAAUAUUUUUUUAAUGACUUGCUUUUAAAACAUUCACUUCAAUAUACUAUCAAAGGAAAUUUGGCCUGGUUACCACGAAUAGAAAAUCAAUAAUGCUUGUGGUAAAUGGAAGCUAAUUGUAAAGACAAAUAGAAGAGUCUAAGGUAUUAAGUUCUACCUAGAACCUGGUGGGCCAAGCCUGAAACCUACAUUCUCUUUGUUCAAAAUGGAAGUUAGCAUGUGUUAGAGGCGAGAUAGAAAAAUGGAAGCUUUCUUCUGGACAAUCAGGAGGCUCAAAAGAGAAUCAGAAUGAGAGUACAUUUCUCACUCUCUGAUGCAAAUUUCCUUAAUGCCUAGAUGCUGGAUAGCACCUGAAACAUUCUCUCCUGCCACUAGAGGUGUGUGUCUGAAAAACACAGCCCUAGAGAAAGAGGCUCCAUGAGAGGGUGGUUGCAUUGCUGAAGAUGCAGUAAGAAAGAAUGGAGAGAAACCCAAAUCGGUCAACACAAACUCACCUUGAACUUUCUACACACCUGAAGCAAUGUCUCAGGCACUAACUUAUCAAAGCUGUGAGUGCAAGGGCCUAGAAACUGACUCCAUGCCUUUCCUGGGGUAACCAGAGAAGCUGAAAAUCCCUCGAGUUCUCUAGAAAUAGUCACUUC